AGGGCUCCUCCUGGUUUUGGUACGAUCGAACAGAGAGAGAGAGGGAGAGAGCCAAGAAACCCUAGUUCUUCAAAUUCUACAAAAUUGAAAGGGAAAUCAAGGAUUAAUCGAAUGCAUGAGCAUGGAACUUUGAUUAUCUUAGUGUUCUUGACAUCUAGAACAAAGAAGGAAGGAGGAACAAGUCAUUCUAUAGCGCAAGAAACGCAAGAUCGCGGUAAAUCCUCAACUUAGGCGACUCGGCGAAAUGGAGCGAGCACGUGUCCAUGUCAUGUUAUACCAAAUGCUUCCGCUAGCUUAUGUUCAUCUUUAUGGUCCAUGACUUGUUAUUUUGUCCAACUUUGUUAGUAGUCGUACAUUUGUAAAGCUUGUCGUCUUGCUUUGAGUAGUUUAAUGUCAAACGGAUCGUAGUAUGUUGUUUAGUUUAUUAUGUUAAAAACAGGGGGCACGUUCGUUUUACGAACAGGUCAUGCCGAAUUUUUGUAAAAAUUUUUACUAUGUAUCAAGGUUGGUAUUUUUGAUGUCUUUAAAUUACUCUUGUAAGUAAAUUACUAUUUAUGGAAAAACGGACCUUAC
Molecule: long non-coding RNA, 573 nt
Filed under: Helianthus annuus (common sunflower)
Lineage: Eukaryota; Viridiplantae; Streptophyta; Magnoliopsida; Asterales; Asteraceae
Description: hypothetical non coding rna
Source: RNAcentral